UGAUUUGGGCUACACACGUGCUACAAUGGACAAUACAAAGGGCAGCGAAACCGCGAGGUCAAGCAAAUCCCAUAAAGUUGUUCUCAGUUCGGAUUGUAGUCUGCAACUCGACUACAUGAAGCUGGAAUCGCUAGUAAUCGUAGAUCAGCAUGCUACGGUGAAUACGUUCCCGGGUCUUGUACACACCGCCCGUCACACCACGAGAGUUUGUAACACCCGAAGCCGGUGGAGUAACCUUUUAGGAGCUAGCCGUCGAAGGUGGGACAAAUGAUUGGGGUGAAGUCGUAACAAGGUAGCCGUAUCGGAAGGUGCGGCUGGAUCACCUCCUUU
RNAcentral lists this ribosomal RNA (330 nucleotides) under Staphylococcus aureus. RNAcentral's name for it is "bacterial SSU rRNA". It matches the Rfam family "Bacterial small subunit ribosomal RNA", at positions 1205 to 1533 of the family's 1533-position model. RNAcentral also lists the same sequence under 1 other name. The record is from RNAcentral. Lineage: Bacteria; Bacillati; Bacillota; Bacilli; Caryophanales; Staphylococcaceae.